Molecule: ribosomal RNA, 463 nt
Filed under: uncultured bacterium
Lineage: Bacteria
Description: partial 16S ribosomal RNA
Rfam family: Bacterial small subunit ribosomal RNA
Source: RNAcentral
GAUGAACGCUGACAGAAUGCUUAACACAUGCAAGUCUUUGGCGAAGCUGUGCUUGCACAGCCUAGCCAAGGCGGACGGGUGAGUAACGCGUCAGGAACUUGCCCUGCAGUCAGGGAUAACAGACGGAAACGACUGAUAAGACCUGGUAAAGUCAGGCGGACUCAUGUCCAGCCUGAUGAAAAGAGAUGCUGCAGGGGAGCCUUGCGUCCUAUUAGCUUGUUGGUGGGGUAACGGCCCACCAAGGCGAUGAUAGGUAGCCGGCCUGAGGGGGUGGACGGCCACAAGGGGACGGAGAUACGGCCCUUACUCCUACGGGAGGCAGCAGUGGGGAAUAGUGGAAAAGGGGGGCAACCCUGAUACAGCAAUUCUGUGUGCACGAUGAAGGUUUUCGGAUUGUAAAGUGCUUGCAGCAGGGAAGAAAAAAAUGACGGUACCUGCAGAAGAAGCGACGGCUAAAUACGUG